AACGCACAUUGCGCCCCCUGGCAUUCCGGGGGGCAUGCCUGUUCGAGCGUCAUUACAACCCUCAAGCUCUGCUUGGUGUUGGGCGUCGUCAUCUGUGGCGCGCCUCAAAGUCAGUGGCGGUGCCGUCCGGCUCCAAGCGUAGUAACUGUUCUCGCUCUAGGGGCCUGGGCGCGUGCUAGCCAGCAACCCACACUACUCAAAGGUUGACCUCGGAUCAGGUAGGGAUACCCGCUGAACUUAA
This 241-nucleotide unclassified non-coding RNA is filed under the name uncultured fungus. Its description in RNAcentral is "sequence contains ITS2". The record is from RNAcentral. Lineage: Eukaryota; Fungi.